This 73-nucleotide transfer RNA is filed under the name Cricetulus griseus (Chinese hamster). It matches the Rfam family "tRNA". From Rfam's summary of the family: Transfer RNA (tRNA) molecules are approximately 80 nucleotides in length. Their secondary structure includes four short double-helical elements and three loops (D, anti-codon, and T loops). Further hydrogen bonds mediate the characteristic L-shaped molecular structure. tRNAs have two regions of fundamental functional importance: the anti-codon, which is responsible for specific mRNA codon recognition, and the 3' end, to which the tRNAs corresponding amino acid is attached (by aminoacyl-tRNA synthetases). tRNAs cope with the degeneracy of the genetic code in two manners: having more than one tRNA (with a specific anti-codon) for a particular amino acid; and 'wobble' base-pairing, i.e. permitting non-standard base-pairing at the 3rd anti-codon position. The record is from Rfam by way of RNAcentral. Lineage: Eukaryota; Metazoa; Chordata; Mammalia; Rodentia; Cricetidae.
GGAGCAAUGGCUUGGUGGUUAAGAGCACUGGCUGUUUCUCCAGAGGACCUGAGUUCAAUCCUCAGUACCCCCA